This 344-nucleotide ribosomal RNA is filed under the name Heteragrion sp. SMB-2007. RNAcentral's name for it is "partial 12S ribosomal RNA". Lineage: Eukaryota; Metazoa; Arthropoda; Insecta; Odonata; Megapodagrionidae. The record is from RNAcentral.
GUAUUUGAUAAGUUCUUCAAACCUAUAGGAUUUGGCGGUAUUUUAAUCUUUUCAGAGGAACCUGUCCCUUAAUCGAUAGCCCACGAUUUUACUUACUUAUUUUUGUUUAGUUUGUAUACCUCCGUCAUAAGAAUAUCUUUUUAGAGAUUUAAAUUUUCUUUUCUAUUUAAAUUAAACAUGUCAGGUCAAGGUGCAGCUUAUAAAUAAGUGGAGAUGGGUUACAAUAAAUUUAUUUAUACGGAUAUUGAACUUAGUGAUUUAAAGUUCUAUUGAAGGUGGAUUUGAUAGUAAAGUUAUUUUUUUGGUUUCUUGAUUUUAGCUCUAAAAUAUGCACACAUCGCCCG